Non-coding RNA from Arvicanthis niloticus (Nile rat), 2702 nucleotides. Lineage: Eukaryota; Metazoa; Chordata; Mammalia; Rodentia; Muridae. The record is from RefSeq and is a predicted model, not a curated record.
GACAGCGGAAAGGGGAAGUUAGUGGGGUGUGCGGCUCAGGCCGGCGUGUGCGGUAAUGCAGGUUCCACAGCUCCUGGUGCUUUUUGGCAGCCAGACUGGCACAGCCCAGGACGAAGCGGAGAGGCUGGGCCGCGAGGCUCGGCGCCGGCGGCUAGGUUGCCGGGUGCAGGCUUUAGACUCUUACUCCGUGGCGAAUCUCAUUCGGGAGCCUCUGGUGAUAUUUGUUUGUGCGACCACAGGCCAAGGAGACCCUCCUGACAACAUGAAGAACUUCUGGAGAUUCAUAUUCCGGAAGAGCCUGCCACCCACCUCCCUCUGUCAGAUGGAUUUUGCUGUCCUAGGCCUCGGAGAUUCCUCAUAUGCCAAAUUCAACUUUGUGGCCAAGAAGCUACAUCGGAGGCUGCUGCAACUAGGGGGCAGUGCUCUCCUGCCCCCAUGUCUAGGUGAUGACCAGCACGAGCUGGGGCCUGAUGCUGCCAUUGACCCCUGGGUAGGAGACCUUUGGGAGAAGAUAAUGGUUAUGUACCCAGUACCCCUCAAUGUUCCUGAGAUCCCUCAUGGAGUCCCCUUGCCCUCCAAGUUCAUCUUCCAGUUUCUUCAGGAGGUCCCCAGCAUAGGGGCUGAGGAACUGAACAUAGCCAGCUCAGCCCCUGAGACACCCCCAUCAGAGUUACAGCCCUUCUUGGCACCUGUGAUCACCAACCAGAGGGUCACUGGCCCCCAACACUUUCAGGAUGUUCGGCUGAUUGAGUUUGAUAUCACAGACUCAAGUAUCAGUUUUGCUGCUGGUGAUGUUGUAUUAAUUCUGCCCUCUAACUCAGAGGCUCACACUCAGCAGUUCUGCCAAGUGUUGUGCCUGGACCCCAAUCAGUUUUUCACACUUAAGCCACGGGAGCCAGGUGUCCCUUACCCACCAGGGCUGCCUCAGCCCUGCACUGUGUGGCACCUUGUGUCACAGUACUUGGACAUUGCCAGCGUGCCCCGCCGUUCCUUCUUUGAGCUCUUGGCUUGUCUCUCCCCACAUGCGCUGGAGCGGGAGAAGCUGCUGGAAUUCAGCUCUGCCAGAGGUCAAGAAGCGCUCUGGGAGUACUGUAAUCGGCCCCGCAGAACCAUCUUGGAGGUGCUAUGUGACUUCCCACACACAGCGGGUGCCAUUCCUCCAGACUACCUUUUGGACCUAAUCCCUCGGAUCCGCCCACGGGCCUUCUCCAUUGCUUCCUCCCUACUGGCUCAUCCUAGGAGGCUACAAAUCCUUGUGGCUGUGGUACAGUACCAGACUCGCCUGAAGGAGCCCCGCCGUGGCCUCUGCUCCUCCUGGCUAGCGUCCCUGAAUCCUGAGCAAGGACCUGUCCGGGUGCCCCUGUGGGUACGGCCUGGGAGCCUAGCGUUCCCAGAAACGCCAAACACACCCAUUAUCAUGGUGGGGCCUGGAACUGGUGUGGCCCCCUUCCGAGCAGCCAUUCAAGAACGAGUGGCCCAUGGCCAAACUGGAAACUACUUGUUCUUUGGCUGCCGCCAGCGGGAUCAGGACUUCUAUUGGCAGACGGAAUGGCAGGAGCUAGAGCAGAAGGGCUGCCUGACCCUGGUUACAGCCUUCUCCCGGGAGCAGGAACAGAAGGUAUAUGUGCAGCACCGGCUCCGAGAGCUGGGGCCACUUGUCUGGGAGCUGCUGGAUGGCCAAGGUGCCCACUUCUACCUAGCAGGCAAUGCUAAGUAUAUGCCUAUGGACGUUUCGGAAGCCCUGAUGUCCAUUUUUCAAGAAGAAGGACAACUCUCCACUGCAGAUGCAUCUGCCUACAUUGCCAGGCUCCAGCAGACAUUGCGCUUCCAGACUGAGACCUGGGCCUGAGGAGCCACUUGCUAACUCACACCCACACUAACAGCUGCACUGGGGAACCUGCUGGAGUCUAGAAGGCCCAUUGUUACCUCUUUUUGUUUGUUUGUUUUGUUUUGUUUUGUUUUGUUUUGUUUUUCAAGACAGGGUUUCUCUGUGUAGUCCUGGUUGUCCUGUAAGUCACUCGCCCUGUAGACCAGGCUGGCCUCAAACUCAGAAAUCCACCUGCCUCUGCCUCCCAAGUGCUGGGAUUAAAGGCGUGCGCCACCACUGCCCGGCUCCAUUGUUACCUCUUGCCCUCUAAUUCCAGAACACUAGUUAGAACCACAGUUUAGCUUCUUGGAUCCAGCUGACCAGAAGGCCAGUCCUUGCGUACAGCCAAACUCAGUGGAACCCAGUGUCCCAUAUGUAGUCCCAGCCCCAGUGCAGCCUGCACUCCUGUUUGCCCUCAGUCCCCUUCAUUUCUGCCCUAAAUUUGCAUUAUGGUCCACACCACCAAGAGCCUUAGCCCUCCAAGGGGUGUAGAGCUAUGUGAGGGCUGCACUGCCCCUCUAACCUUGAGCUGUUCCCAUUUGUCCCACAGCACCUGUGCAACUCAGCUCAGUUGAAAAGCCACCAGGGCCCAAGUCUCCUGAGCAUUGAGAAUGGGCAAAUCAUCUGUCUCCAGACCAGACCUAGCCAACACCACUCUUGUCUCAGGAGUUGACAUGCUGCGGGGACCCGAGUGAAGUCCAGUGAGGUCAGCAAGCCAAAGGUGUACCUAGAGGUCAGUGCUCCAGUGAGUGGGUGGAGGCCAAGCUCUGGCUGGCCUCUUACGGGGCCACACUAACCUUUAUAACUUGCAACAAUCUCUGCUGUCACCCUGGAA